Molecule: ribosomal RNA, 253 nt
Filed under: uncultured bacterium
Lineage: Bacteria
Description: partial 16S ribosomal RNA
Rfam family: Bacterial small subunit ribosomal RNA
Source: RNAcentral
UACGUAGGGUGCGAGCGUUGUCCGGAAUUAUUGGGCGUAAAGAGCUCGUAGGCGGCUUGUCGCGUCGGAUGUGAAAGCCCGGGGCUUAACUCCGGGUCUGCAUUCGAUACGGGCAGGCUAGAGUGUGGUAGGGGAGAUCGGAAUUCCUGGUGUAGCGGUGAAAUGCGUAGAUAUCAGGAGGAACACCGGUGGCGAAGGCGGAUCUCUGGGCCAUUACUGACGCUGAGGAGCGAAAGCGUGGGGAGCGAACAGG